This is a long non-coding RNA of Fukomys damarensis (Damara mole-rat), 1429 nucleotides long. RefSeq lists it as uncharacterized. The record is from RefSeq and is a predicted model, not a curated record. Lineage: Eukaryota; Metazoa; Chordata; Mammalia; Rodentia; Bathyergidae. The transcript has 5 exons.
CGAGAGGCGCGCCCCGAGGUCCUUGACUCUAUGUCCGGCUCGCACGCACCUGAAGAAAAUUUCAUAUCAAACUACAAUGAGUUACAUUUUUCACCUCUUGGAUUGCCAAAAUUCUAAAUUUAGUAAAGCUGAGGUUUCAGUGGUGAUUAAAACUGCUUAGGCUCAUGAGCUCUAAACAUGAAGAAAUGAUAGAGGUGACAGGAAUCAUGGGCACACAGGGAAGAAGUGAGUUUGGACCUUACAGGGAUCUUGGAUGAAGAGCUGGAAAAGACUCAGUUGCUGGGACACAGCAGCAGACACUAGUACCCUCUGUGUGGGGAACUUUGCAAUGAUGACUCAUUUGAAACAAGGACCACUAGACACGGAAGAGCAGAGAAGAUAACCCACGCAAAGCAGGGAAGGCCUGUAAUAUCUUGGAUAUUUUACUUUGAAACUGUAAACAAUAACAUGAUGAAAACGUCUUAUUUUAAAAUUUACUUUGACUCUUACUUCAGAGCUAAUAUGAAUAUAUUACUUCAGUUUUGGAAAAUAGAAAAAAGCAAAACAGAACAAAAUCCCCCACCUAUUCCCAUAAUCUUAGUACAAUUAUUGUCUUUGGAGUAUUUUCUUAUGUUCUUCAUCUCAUUGGACACACCAUGAAGCAGCUAAUCUUGGUUAGAUUUGGAGUCAGGGAUCUAUCCCCAAGAGUCGCUUCCGUGAGGAGGAGAGUUCCUUCUGUGAUUUUCAAGGGAAGGGGGCCAGUGUUCUAACCUGCCUCAGGCUACCAGAACGACUGACAAAAGGCGAUCCCCUGUUUUGCUUAAUUUGGAAAUUCAUUCAAAGAAGGUGGUGUAUACACUGGUUCCAGGGAAGAAGAUGCAGACAUCUUUGGAAGGACCAUUACUCUGCUGCCGCACUGAUAUGUAAACAAAAUAUGAGAAGAAAAUGCUUUGCAAUGGAGUAAAAAUCAAGGGAAACUCAGGAGGAUGACACCUACCAUAGAAGUAGUGUUUAUUUUAAGCGCUGGCACCUUCUGGAAGUUCACUUCCAGAUUUAGUCCAUGGACCACAUCUUAGUUUAGGGUUCAGCAGCAACACCAGCAAAAAGUGCUACUUCACAUUGUCCUGCGACGAUCUCACAUAUGGAAGAUCAUGUUUGACAUUCCUGCUCUGUGACCUUGGACAAGAUACUUGAAUUCUUUAAGUUUUAUUUUGUAAAUUUUAAAAUGCAGCUCAUAGGGUCUUCCCUGAAGUACUGUCAGAAUUAGAGGUAAAGUGUAUAAAAUACUUACUACCACCCUAGGCAAUGAUGGUCCUUAAUUGCUAAUAUCUGUCAUAUUGCAUAGAAAUUACUAAUUAAUUUUGUACUCCUUUUCUGUGUAUUUACUUUUGUGUAAGAGUCAUGGCUUAAAAAUAAUCUCUGGCUGGGCAGUGAUAUGCAUUCAUUUGUG